Molecule: ribosomal RNA, 253 nt
Filed under: uncultured bacterium
Lineage: Bacteria
Description: partial 16S ribosomal RNA
Rfam family: Bacterial small subunit ribosomal RNA
Source: RNAcentral
UACGUAGGGUGCGAGCGUUAAUCGGAAUUACUGGGCGUAAAGCGUGCGCAGGCGGUUCGUUAAGACAGAUGCGAAAUCCCCGGGCUUAACCUGGGAACUGCAUUUGUGACUGGCGAGCUAGAGUAUGGCAGAGGGGGGUAGAAUUCCACGUGUAGCAGUGAAAUGCGUAGAGAUGUGGAGGAAUACCGAUGGCGAAGGCAGCCCCCUGGGCCAAUACUGACGCUCAUGCACGAAAGCGUGGGGAGCAAACAGG